This 546-nucleotide ribosomal RNA is filed under the name Nectophryne afra. RNAcentral describes it as "partial large subunit ribosomal RNA". It matches the Rfam family "Bacterial large subunit ribosomal RNA", at positions 1832 to 2600 of the family's 2925-position model. The record is from RNAcentral. Lineage: Eukaryota; Metazoa; Chordata; Amphibia; Anura; Bufonidae.
CGCCUCUUGUACACAUAUAAGAGGUCCUGCCUGCCCAGUGACCCUGUUCAACGGCCGCGGUAUCCUAACCGUGCAAAGGUAGCGUAAUCACUUGUUCACUAAAUGUGGACUAGUAUGAACGGCCCCACGAGGGCUUUACUGUCUCCUUUUUCUAAUCAGUGAAACUAAUCUCCCAGUGAAGAAGCUGGAAUAAAUCUAUAAGACGAGAAGACCCUAUGGAGCUUAAAACAACACAGCUUCUGCCAUAUAAAACUUAUACUAUUAGGCAACAUGACCAUAUGUUUUCGGUUGGGGUGACCAUGGAGCAUAACACAACCUCCACGCUGAGUCUUUUAAGCUAAGAAUUACCUAUCUAAGCAUUAUUACACUAACACCCAUUGACCCAAUAUACUUGAACAACGAACCAAGUUACCCUAGGGAUAACAGCGCAAUCUACUUCAAGAGCCCCUAUCGACAAGUAGGUUUACGACCUCGAUGUUGGAUCAGGGUAUCCUAGUGGUGCAGCCGCUACUAAGGGCUCGUUUGUUCAACGAUUAAAACCCUACG